AGCUUUGAUUAAGGUCAGAUUGAACGCUGGCGGGAUGCUUUACACAUGCAAGUCGAACGGCAGCACGGACUUCGGUCUGGUGGCGAGUGGCGAACGGGUGAGUAAUGGUCGGAACGUGCUCAGUAGCGGGGGAUAACUACGCGAGCAGCUAACAAUGGCAUACGCCCUUCGGGGGAAAGCGGGGGAAUCUCUGGGCCUCGCACUAGAGCGGCCGGGAUACGACGCAGCUAGUUGCGGGCAACGGCCGUACUGGGGCGCGACGAUCCAGCUGGUUUGAGAGGAACACCAGCCAGCCACUGGGACUGAGACAUUACCCAGACUCCGCAUGGGAGGCAGCAGUGGGGAAUUUUGGACAAUGGGGGAAACCCUGAUCCAGCCAUCCCGCGUGUGCGAUGAAGGUUUCGGGUUGUAAAGCACUUUUGGCAGGAAAAGAAACGGCAUCGAUAAUACCCGUGCAACUGACGGUACCUGCAGAAUAAGCACCGGCUAACUACGUGCCAGCAGCCGCGGUAAUACGUAGGGUGCAAGCGUUAAUCGGAAUUACUGGGCGUAAAGUGUGCGCAGGCGGUUCGGAAAGAAAGACGUAGAAAUCCCAGAGCUUAACUUUUGGAACUGCAUUUUUAACUACCGAGCUAGAGUGUGUCAGAGGAGGUGGAAUUCCGCGUGUAGUAGUGGAAAUGUGCAGAUAUGCGGAGGAACACCGAUGGCGAAGGCCUCCUGGGAUAACACUGACGCUCAUGCAAUGAAAGCGCGGGAGCAAACAGGAAUAGAUAAUUCCGUAGUCCACGCCCUAAACGAUGUCAUCCAGCUGUUGGGGCCUGGGCCUUAGCGCAGCUAACGCAGUAGUUGAACCGCCUGGGGAGUACGGUCGCAAGAUUAAAACUCAAAGGAAUUUGAUUGGGACCCGCACAAGCGGUGGAUGACAGAUUAAUUAUGCAACGCGAAAAACCUUACCUACCCUUGACAUGUCUGAAUCCCGUAAAGAGAUUGGGAGUGCUUCGCAAGGAACUGAACACAGGUGCUGUAUGGCUGUCGUCACUCGUGUCGAGAUGUUGGGUUAAGUCCCGCAACGAGCGCAACCCUUGGCCAUUAGUUGCUACGAAAGGGCACUCUAAUGAGACUGCCGGUGACAAACCGGGAGGAAGGUGGGAUGACGUGUCAAGUCCUCAAGGGCCCUGGCGGGGAGGGGCUUCACACGUCACAAUGGUCGGGACAGAGGGUCGCCAACCCGCGAGGGGAGCCAAUCCCAGAAACCCGAUCGUAGUCCGGAUCGCAGUCUGCAACUCGACUGCGGCUUGAAUCGCCAGUAAUCGCGGAUCAGCAUGUCGCGGUGAAUACGUUCCCGGGUCUUGUACACACCGCCCGUCACACCAUGGGAGUGGGUUUUACCAGAAGUAGUUAGCCUAACCGUAACGUUGAUAUGAUUACCAGCCGUAGGAUUCAUGACUGGGGUGGCGCCGUA
RNAcentral lists this ribosomal RNA (1462 nucleotides) under uncultured Bordetella sp. Its description in RNAcentral is "partial 16S-23S ribosomal RNA intergenic spacer". It matches the Rfam family "Bacterial small subunit ribosomal RNA". The record is from RNAcentral. Lineage: Bacteria; Pseudomonadati; Pseudomonadota; Betaproteobacteria; Burkholderiales; Alcaligenaceae.